UGGGGAAUCUUGGACAAUGGGGGCAACCCUGAUCCGGCGACGCCGCGUGGGUGGUAAGGCCUUCGGGGUGUAAAGCCCUUUCAGCGGGGAAGAUGAUGACAUUACCCGCAGAAGAAGCGCCGGCUAACUCCGUGCCAGCAGCCGCGGUAAGACGGAGGGCGCUAGCGUUGUUCGGAAUCACUGGGCGUAAAGGGCGCGUAGGCGGCUGUCUAAGUCGAGGGUGAAAGCCCGGGGCUCAACCCCGGAACGGCCUUCGAGACUGGGGGGCUCGAGACCGGAAGAGGAGGGUGGAAUACCCAGUGUAGAGGUGGAAUUCGUAGGUAUUGGGUGGAACACCAGGGGCGAAAGCGGCUCUCUGGUCCGGAUCUGACGCUGAGGCGCGAAAGCGUGGGGAGCAAACAGGAUUAGAUACCCCUGUAGUCC
This 423-nucleotide ribosomal RNA is filed under the name uncultured prokaryote. Its description in RNAcentral is "bacterial SSU rRNA". It matches the Rfam family "Bacterial small subunit ribosomal RNA", at positions 355 to 796 of the family's 1533-position model. The record is from RNAcentral.